RNA transcript from Camarhynchus parvulus, 2030 nucleotides. It is a transcript of the gene named core histone macro-H2A.1, with no coding region annotated. Lineage: Eukaryota; Metazoa; Chordata; Aves; Passeriformes; Thraupidae. The record is from RefSeq and is a predicted model, not a curated record. The transcript is spliced from 10 exons.
CAGUGAGGGGCCGGUGAGGGAGCGCGCUGGAUCGUGCGGCAUCGUGAGGCGACCCCGCCGUGAGGGGCGGGCGGUGGAUAUGACGCGCGGGCGCGCGGGGCAUUGUGGGAGCUCCGCCAGCCCGUUCAGCCGAUCCCGGUGGCCCCGCGGGCGGAGCGGAGCAGCGGGAGCGGCAGCGGGGACGGGAGCGGGGCCGCCGCCGGCCGACCGGAGACAUCUUGCCCGCGCCAGUGCUGUUUCAGACCUGAUACAGACAAGAUGUCCAGCAGGGGUGGAAAGAAGAAGUCAACCAAGACUUCCCGCUCCGCGAAGGCUGGGGUCAUAUUCCCUGUUGGAAGAAUGCUCCGCUACAUUAAGAAAGGCCACCCGAAGUACAGAAUUGGUGUUGGUGCUCCUGUGUACAUGGCUGCUGUACUGGAAUAUCUAACUGCGGAAAUUCUGGAAUUGGCUGGAAAUGCUGCAAGGGACAACAAGAAGGGUCGAGUCACUCCUAGACACAUCCUGUUGGCUGUAGCAAACGAUGAAGAAUUAAAUCAGCUAUUGAAAGGGGUCACCAUAGCCAGUGGUGGAGUGUUACCCAACAUUCACCCAGAGCUGUUGGCAAAGAAGCGGGGAUCAAAAGGAAAACUGGAAGCCAUCAUCACUCCACCCCCAGCAAAGAAGGCAAAGUCUCCAUCACAGAAAAAAACUGUAUCAAAGAAAACAGGUGGCAAGAAAGGAGCAAGGAAAUCCAAGAAGAAGCAGGGAGAAGUGAGCAAAUCAGCCAGUGCUGACAGUACAACAGAGGGAACUCCUGCAGAUGGUUUCACAGUCUUGUCCACCAAAAGCCUGUUUCUUGGCCAGAAGUUGCAAGUUGUACAGGCUGACAUUGCCACGAUCGACAGUGAUGCUGUCGUUCACCCGACAAACUCUGACUUCUACACCGGUGGUGAAGUGGCUCAACAAGCUGGGCAGUUACCAAGUAAAGCAGCCCGCUGCACUCACGAGACUGUUUCAUUCCUGGGGCCACCUGUUGGGGUCAGGGACCAAGAUCAGGGAGCACUUUGGAAAAGAAAGGUGGCAAGGAGUUUGUGGAAGCCGUCAUUGAGCUCCGCAAAAAGAACGGGCCGUUGGACAUAGCCGGAGCUGUUGUCAGUGCUGGCCAUGGACUGCCUGCAAAAUUUGUGAUCCACUGUAAUAGCCCAGGUUGGGGCUCAGACAAAUGUGAGGAGCUGCUGGAAAAGACAGUGAAGAACUGCCUGGCUCUGGCUGAUGAAAAGAAGCUGAAAUCAAUUGCAUUUCCUUCCAUUGGCAGUGGCAGAAAUGGCUUCCCAAAGCAAACAGCUGCUCAGCUGAUCCUGAAAGCCAUCUCCAGCUAUUUUGUGUCUACAAUGUCCUCUUCGAUCAAGACGGUGUACUUCGUGCUCUUCGACAGCGAGAGUAUAGGGAUAUACGUGCAGGAAAUGGCCAAGCUAGAUGCCAACUAAGCCUAGAAAGCUACAGUACCAGCCCCCUCUUCCACCCAUCAGCAUCCCCAAAUCCUUAAAUCAUUGUGAGGCAGAGCAUCCCUUAUUUUAAAUUUUGCUCAUCUAGGAAAAUAAAGGUGGGGGUUUUGUUGUUUUGUUUUGGAUUUUUUUUGUUUGUUUUGUUUUUCCUCUCUAAACCGUUUUAUGUUGGCACUGAUAGUUGGCAUUACUGCUGUUAAUGCACUGUUAUACCAGGCAUUGUCUGAAGUUAGUGUAAUCUAGAAGAUUUUAUAGUUUUAUUUUAAUGAAGUAUGGAUUGAAGCAGGAAGCUGUUAGGAGUAUGUAGUCUUUUACUUGUGAAAGAAACAGGCCAACCCUAUUUUGUAACUGUGUUGUGGUGCUUUAUCAAUACAUCAAGUGGCGUUCCUUUCAUUUUUUAAAAGAACAGAUGCUAUAAACCUAAUUUGUGUUUGUUUAUUGUCUUAAUGAUUCUGGAAGAAAAAAAAUACAGAAACCCUGUUGUCCUUAAUUAUAUUUACAAUUUUGAAACUGUGUGAAUUGAUUUAGUAAAAUGUUUGAACUGUU